CAAGAUCUCGGAACGGCUCUGAGCCCUGCGCACGCGGGAAGGGCUGCCGGAGGCGCCCGUAGGGAGGCGCGCGCGCGGGCGGCUCAGGGCCCGCGUUCCUCUCCCUCCCGCCUACCGCCACUUUCCCGCCCUGUGUGCGCCCCCACCCCCACCACCAUCUUCCCACCCUCAGCGCGGGCGCCCCGCGGUGACGGCCCAGGGGCCGGACGCCUGGAACGCAACUCCAGGCAGCUCGCCCCCUAGCUACAUCCGUCACCUGACACGGCCCUACCAGGAACAGCCGCGCUCCCGCGGAUUCUGGUGCUGCUCGCGUCCCCGCUCCCCUAUUCCCCUUAUUUUAUUCCUGGCUCCCCUCGUCGAAAGUCUUCCAUUCUUCAAACUAGAUUAUUUAAAAAUGAAAAAGGAAGAAAGGAAAGCGAGGUCAUCUCAUUGCUCUAUCCGCCAAUCAGGAGGCUGAAUGUCAGUUUUGAACUAAAAGCCGCUCCGCUCCUCUUCUAGAUUUGGAAAACAAGCGAAAUUAAACUAAACCGCUGCACGCCUCUGACGCGACAUCUGGACACGGCGCGGCGCUGGCGCUGCCGGAGCUGUCGACCCGGCCUGGCGCCGGACUAGCGAGGCAGCCGAGCUGCAGACACAGAGAUGCAGAUCUUUGUGAAGACCCUCACGGGCAAGACCAUCACCCUUGAGGUCGAGCCCAGUGACACCAUUGAGAAUGUCAGUGCGAAAAUUCAAGACAAGGAGGGUAUCCCCCCUGACAAGCAGCGUCUGAUAUUUGCCAGCAAACAGCUGGAGGAUGGCCGCACUCUCUCAGACUACAACGUCCAGAAACAGCCCACCCCGCACCUGGUGCUGCACCUGCGAGGUGGCAUUAUUGAGCCUUCACUCUUCCAGCUCACCUAGAAAUACAGCUGAAACAAGAUGAUCUGCCAUAAGCGCUAUGCUCUCCUGCACCCCUAUGCUGUCAAUUGCCGCAAGAAGAAGUGUGGCCACACCAACAACCUGCACCCCAAGAAGGUCAAAUAAGGCUCUUCCUUCCUCGGAGGGCAGCCUCCUGCCCAGGCCCCAUGGCCCUGGAGCCUCAAUAAAGUGUCCCUUUCAUUGACUGGAAAAAAAAAAAGUAUGAAUAGAACUGGUUGACUGGCCAAGAGAAACAGCGACCUAACCUUGCCCUCAUUUAUGCACACUUUUGCAUAUGAUUAGGACUAAGAUAGUGUUUAUAAGUGAGAAGAGAAGGAAAUUCAUAAUCACUUUUGGGGCUUUUUCAAAUUUUUUAUGAACACACCUUCCCACCAAGAGGUUUGAUUUUCUCCAUUUUAUGAGUUGGGUUUAUUGCUCCGUGAUCCACAGUAUAUCCACUUCUAUAUUCCCAUGUAUUUUUCAAGAUUAAUUAAAUGGUGGACUUGUUCAUCAUUUUAGUAUCCGUAUUAGUUUGCUAGGGCUGCCAUAACAGAAUACCACAGACUGAGUAGCUUAAACAACAAAUAUUUAUUUUCUCAGAGUUUUAACUUCUCCUGAGGCUUCUCUUCUUGACUUGCACAUGGCCAUCCUACUGCUGCCUCUUCACAUAGUCAUCCCUCUGUGCACACGUGCCCCUGGAUCUCUUGUGUGUGUCCAAAUUUCCUCCUCUUUUGAGGACACCAGUCAGAUUGGAUUAGGGCCCACCCCAAUGGCCUUAUUUUAACUUAGUCACUUCUUUAAGGGCUCUAUUUCCAAAUACGGUCAAAUUGUGAGGUAUUGGGCUUAGGACUUUAAUAUAAAAAUUUAGAGGUGACAGAAUUUAACCCAUAACAACAGCAUCUUAAUUUUUACACAUUUUACUUUUCAUUUCUUUUUAAACUGUUAUUAAUAAUUUAUUCAUUUGAAUAAGGAUUAAAAUAAGGCUAGGAUAUUGAAAUUGGUUGAAAUUGCUACAGUCUCUUGUAUCUCUCUCUCUCUCUUUUUUUUCUUAUAAGGGACAGGUUUCAUUCACCUUGUCGACCAGGCUGGAGUGCAAUACUGUGAGCAAGGGUCACUGCUGCCUCGAAUUCCUGGGCUUAAGGGAUGCUCCUGCCUCAUCCUCCAGAGUAGAUGGGACUACAGGUGUUGGCCACCAUGACUGGCUAAUAUUUUUACUUUUUUGAAGAGAUGAAGUCUUGCCAUCUGGCCCAGGCUGGUCCCGAACUCCUGGGCUCACACAAUUCUUUCACCUCGGCCCCCCAAAGUGCUGGAUUGCAAGUGUGAACCACUGCACCUGGCGUCUUGUUUCCUCUUAAUCUACAGUUUCCCCCUUUUGCCUUCUUUUUUUUUCUUUCAAUUUAUCUAUUGCAGAAAUUGGCUUUAUCUGUAGUUUUCUAAAGCUUGGAUUUUGCUGAAUGCUUCUUUAUAAUGACACUUAACAUUUUUCUUUGUCAUUUGUAUUUCUCAUAACUUAUUAUUUAGGCCUAGAGUCUGUAUGUGAUUCAGGUUUGAUAUUUGGGCAAAAGUAUUUAAUAAGUGGGAUUACGUACUUUCACCAAGAGACACAUAAUAUGGUUGUCUCUUUCUGUGAUUCUAGCAGCCAUGGAUAAUUAUUUCAUAGAUUAUUAUUUUCUUGGGGAUGGCAAAAUGGUGAUAUUCUAAUUUUACUAUUCCUUCAUUUACUAGCUGGAAUGUCUUUUUAAAUUAUUUAUUUAUUUAUUUAUUAUUUGAGACAGAGUCUUGCACUGUCACCCAGGCUGGAGUGCAGUGGUGUGAUCAUAGCUCACUGCAACCUGCAACUCCCAGGCUCAAGUGAUCCUCCCACCUCAGCUUCCCCAAUAGCUAGGACUACAGGCACACAUCACCUGGCUAAUUUUUAAAUUUUUUGUAGAGAUGAGGGUCUUGCUUUUUUGCCCAGGCUGGUCUCUAACUACUGGGCUCAGCCUCCUAAGCUCCUCCUGCUUCAGCCUCCCAAAGUGUUGGGAUUACAGACAUAAGCCACUGUGCCUGGCCUGGAAUAUUUCUAUAUAGAAAGUUCUCUUCAUUAUCUACUUCAUUGCUUUCAGGUAUAUGUAAGAAAGACAGGAUAAACCACUAGAUUUUGAAAUGUAUUUAUAAAUUUUCAAAAUAAUGAGUUGAGUCCUAGAAUCUUUCUUUUAUUAUUAUUAUUAUUAUACUUUAAGUUUUAGGGUACAUGUGCACAAUGUGCAGGUUAGUUACAUAGGUAUACAUGUGCCAUGCUGGUGUGCUGCACCCAUUAACUUGUCAUUUAGCAUUAGAUAUAUAUCCUAAUGCUAUCCCUCCCCCCUCCCCCCACCCCACAACAGUCCCCAGAGUGUGAUGUUCCCCUUCCUGUGUCCAUGUGUUCUCAUUGUUCAAUUCCCAUCUAUGAGUGAGAACAUGGCGGUGUUUGGUUUUUUGUCCUUGUGAUAGUUUACUGAGAAUAAUGAUUUCCAAUUUCAUCCAUGUCCCUACAAAGGACAUGAACUCAUCAUUUUUAUGACUGCAUAGUAUUCCAUGGUGUAUAUAUGCCACAUUUUCUUAAUCCAGUCUAUCAUUGUUGGACAUUUGGGUUGGUUCCAAGUCUUUGCUAUUGUGAAUAGUGCCGCAAUAAACAUACGUGUGCAUGUGUCUUUA
Molecule: long non-coding RNA, 3573 nt
Organism: Homo sapiens (human)
Lineage: Eukaryota; Metazoa; Chordata; Mammalia; Primates; Hominidae
Gene: CDKN2B-AS1
Product: CDKN2B antisense RNA 1
Source: Ensembl